Molecule: ribosomal RNA, 216 nt
Filed under: Glomeromycotina sp.
Lineage: Eukaryota; Fungi; Glomeromycota
Description: partial small subunit ribosomal RNA
Rfam family: Eukaryotic small subunit ribosomal RNA (bases 40-216)
Source: RNAcentral
GGGUCAGUAGGUUGGUCGUGCCACCGGUACGUACUGGACUCACUGAUUCCUCCUUCCUGAAGAACCGUAAUGCCAUUAAUUUGGUGUUGCGGGGAAACAGGACUGUUACUUUGAAAAAAUUAGAGUGUUUAAAGCAAGCUAACGCUUGAAUACAUUAGCAUGGAACAAUGAAAUAGGACGAUCGAUCCUAUUUUGUUGGUUUCUAGGAUUGACGUA